GCUCAGGAUGAACGCUAGCUACAGGCUUAACACAUGCAAGUCGAGGGGCAGCAUCAUCAAAGCUUGCUUUGAUGGAUGGCGACCGGCGCACGGGUGAGUAACACGUAUCCAACCUGCCGACAACACUGGGAUAGCCUUUCGAAAGAAAGAUUAAUACCGGAUGGCAUARUUUUCCCGCAUGGGAUAAUUAUUAAAGAAUUUCGGUUGUCGAUGGGGAUGCGUUCCAUUAGGCAGUUGGCGGGGUAACGGCCCACCAAACCWACGAUGGAUAGGGGUUCUGAGAGGAAGGUCCCCCACAUUGGAACUGAGACACGGUCCAAACUCCUACGGGAGGCAGCAGUGAGGAAUAUUGGUCAAUGGACGAGAGUCUGAACCAGCCAAGUAGCGUGAAGGAUGACUGCCCUAUGGGUUGUAAACUUCUUUUAUACGGGAAUAAAGUGAGCCACGUGUGGCUUUUUGUAUGUACCGUAUGAAUAAGGAUCGGCUAACUCCGUGCCAGCAGCCGCGGUAAUACGGAGGAUCCGAGCGUUAUCCGGAUUUAUUGGGUUUAAAGGGAGCGUAGGCGGGUUGUUAAGUCAGUUGUGAAAGUUUGCGGCUCAACCGUAAAAUUGCAGUUGAUACUGGCGACCUUGAGUGCAACAGAGGUAGGCGGAAUUCGUGGUGUAGCGGUGAAAUGCUUAGAUAUCACGAAGAACUCCGAUUGCGAAGGCAGCUUACUGGAUUGUAACUGACGCUGAUGCUCGAAAGUGUGGGUAUCAAACAGGAUUAGAUACCCUGGUAGUCCACACAGUAAACGAUGAAUACUCGCUGUUGGCGAUAUACGGUCAGCGGCCAAGCGAAAGCAUUAAGUAUUCCACCUGGGGAGUACGCCGGCAACGGUGAAACUCAAAGGAAUUGACGGGGGCCCGCACAAGCGGAGGAACAUGUGGUUUAAUUCGAUGAUACGCGAGGAACCUUACCCGGGCUUAAAUUGCAACUGACGGAAUCGGAAACGGUUCUUUCUUCGGACAGUUGUGAAGGUGCUGCAUGGUUGUCGUCAGCUCGUGCCGUGAGGUGUCGGCUUAAGUGCCAUAACGAGCGCAACCCUUAUCGAUAGUUACUAUCAGGUUAUGCUGAGGACUCUAUCCAGACUGCCGUCGUAAGAUGUGAGGAAGGUGGGGAUGACGUCAAAUCAGCACGGCCCUUACGUCCGGGGCUACACACGUGUUACAAUGGGGGGUACAGAAGGCAGCUACACGGCGACGUGGUGCUAAUCCCGAAAGCCUCUCUCAGUUCGGAUUGGAGUCUGCAACCCGACUCCAUGAAGCUGGAUUCGCUAGUAAUCGCGCAUCAGCCACGGCGCGGUGAAUACGUUCCCGGGCCUUGUACACACCGCCCGUCAAGCCAUGAAAGCCGGGGGUACCUGAAGUACGUAACCGCGAGGAGCGUCCU
Molecule: ribosomal RNA, 1431 nt
Filed under: Bacteroides sp.
Lineage: Bacteria; Pseudomonadati; Bacteroidota; Bacteroidia; Bacteroidales; Bacteroidaceae
Description: bacterial SSU rRNA
Source: RNAcentral